UAAUAAAAAAAGAGUUAAUAUUAUUAAAAAGAAUAAACAAAGUACACGAAGAAGAAGAAAAGGCAAUAAAUGACCUGUUCAUCUUGUUCCCUUACUGCAUCUUUCUCACAGUUCUUCACUUCCAGAAGAAGCCGAGGCAGAGAUAUGAGUUGUCCGACUUUGCUGCUUUCUAAUCCGAGAAAGCAUGCUACUUUACGACUCUCCAAAGUUUCCGGUCACACAACUGAAUUGUUAGAGAUUCAAUCUGAUAAACCCACCUUUCAUGUUCUCUUUAUCCCUGGAAACCCAGGUGUUGUUUCGUUUUACAAGGAUUUCUUGGAAUCCCUGUAUGAGUUGCUUGGUGGAAGUGCUUCUGUUACAGCUAUUGGGCACAUAUCUCAUACUGAAAAGAAUUGGGAGCACGGGAAGUUGUUCUCAUUACAAGAUCAAAUUGAUCAUAAGGUGGAUUUCAUCAAGCAGGAACUGCAAAAUAAUGAACUUCCUAUAGUACUGGUUGGGCACUCUAUUGGUUCCUACAUAUCACUUGAAAUACUAAGGUUUCUAGAGAAGGUUACAUAUUUGAUAGGACUAUACCCUUUUUUAAUGUUGAAUCCACUAUCAAAGCAACAGUCUAAUAUCGAGAAUGUGGCAGAGUCCUCUAUUUUGUCUGCUUUACUUAGUUUCAGUGUAGCAUCCUUGGGAUUGCUACCUCAGUGCACUUUAAGGUUUAUCCUGUCAAAAUCUCUUGGGAGUUCAUGGUCUGAUACUGCUAUUGAUGCUGCUUGUAGUCACUUGCUGCAGUACCAUACCUUCCGAAACAUGCUUUACAUGGCAUUGAUGGAAUUCAGAAAGCUUUCAGAAAUGCCAGAUUGGGCUUUCAUGAGAGAGAAUCACGAGAAAAUUGCUUUCUUAUUUGGUGUUGAUGACCACUGGGGUCCGCUGCAAAUGUUUGAAGAGAUUUCGAAGCAGGUUCCUGGUAUUUCUCUAUCAAUUGAAAGGGAAGGCCAUACUCAUAGUUUCUGUUGCACUGAGGCUGGCUCAGAAUGGGUUGCCCACCAUGUAGCGAGCUUGAUUAAGAAAAAAAUAUCAAGCUGAGGUAAAAAGGUCAACUGCCUUUUCAUUUUUCUGAUUUACAGUCAUCUAUUGUCCCUGAUUUACAGGGAAGUUGGACAGCUGAUCGCACCGACUCCCAUUCUUUUACAGGCGAUCACUCUUGAAAGCUGACCUCGUUCCUAUAUUUUUGAUGACUCGUCAACCAUGUAAUUUCAACAGUGAUCGUCUUGUUUUUGCUUUGAAAAACUUGUCUAUGCAACUGCUAUCUUAAGAUUCAACACUGAGUAAAUUGUCAUGUACAAAUACUGUUUGCAUUUCUUCUGCAAAUGUGCCAUUAACCAGAUGCAUUUAGCCCCACCUUUCACGUUCUCUUUUCAUCAGUCAUCAUGAUGUUUGAUGGAGCGGACUGUAACUACUUGAUAUACUGUAGAGGCAAUUUGAGCGCCUUUACGCUGUUUGUUUUUCUGUAUCUUUCUAACUUCUGAGGUAAUUAGAGUCGCGACGAAUUUG
Populus euphratica (Euphrates poplar) is the source of this 1542-nucleotide RNA transcript. It is a transcript of the gene named alpha/beta-Hydrolases superfamily protein, with no coding region annotated. The transcript has 14 exons. The record is from RefSeq and is a predicted model, not a curated record. Lineage: Eukaryota; Viridiplantae; Streptophyta; Magnoliopsida; Malpighiales; Salicaceae.